GAUAGAUAGAUAGAUAGAUAGAUAGAUAGAUAGAUAGAUAGAUAGAUAGAUAGAUAGAUACUUUAUUUAUCCAGAAGAAAAUUUAGAAGAAGUCUACAUUCCUGGGUGUUUGGUUUUAUACACCUGUGGCCAUGUAAGAGAUUGGAAAUUGAGUUAAAUAUAGUUUAUAUUACAGAAAACUGAAUAAAAUCGGUCUUUUUUAAGCAUUUUAAAUAUUUUUGGUCAUUUGGUAAUAUCAUUAGAAUGUAUGUAAUGUAAAGUAAUGAGUCAUGUGAUUCAGUUCAAAUUAUUUAUAAAACUUUAUUUUUAAUUCAAUUGCUCUUCUUUUGGAACACAUAUCCAAGCACUAAAACCAAACCAAAGAACAUGGGACAAAAACACGAGACGAGGCUGAACACGAACAGCCGCAUUUACACACACACAUACUUUACACACUCACACACUCACACUCAUUCACUCUCUCACACACACACACCUGCACACAUAUACAUUGCCACCUACAGUGUGAAAGACAGACUACUAGAGUGACGAGACCGACCAGAGUCUGAAAGAAAACGACAAGAAAAAGAAAACACGUUAUUUUUAAAAAAGAAGACGAAGAAGCAAAAAAUCACACGACUUUUCACGUUAUCUCGACUCUCCUCGGUUCCAGAGGAGAAAAAAGGAGAGGAGGAGAAAAUAAAAACAGGAAAAAAACAGAAACAGUUCAAAAGAAACCAACCGAAAAAAAUAAAGAAUAAACAGUUCACUGAGAGGAAUCAAACUAUACUGUGGAUUAGUUUAGUCAUGUCUGCGGGAAACACAUGAAGCACAGUGGCGUCCGCACUAAUCGUAUGGCUUUUUCAUUCAUGCAACAGCUCGGCUGUGGAUGUUUGACACUGGAGAUACAUUUAGUACAUAUACAGCUCUGGAAAAAAAAUACAGACUACUUAAAAAUGAUGAGUUUCUUUGAUUUUACCAAAUUUAAAAACCCCUGGAAUAUAAUCAAGAGCAAGAUGGAUG
RNAcentral lists this long non-coding RNA (1002 nucleotides) under Astyanax mexicanus (Mexican tetra). RNAcentral's name for it is "lncRNA (ENSAMXG00005022795.1)". The record is from RNAcentral. Lineage: Eukaryota; Metazoa; Chordata; Actinopteri; Characiformes; Acestrorhamphidae.